UGACCUAGCUAUAUAAAUGUCUCCCUUGUCUUUAGUUUCCAUUCUCAGCUAUUGUUGUCUCUUCAUCGGCACCAUGCUUCCUAGCCACUGCCGCCUGAACUCUUAGCUAACAUUUAUUCUUCUAUGGGUAAUCAAUGUUGUUCUCAUCCUCACGUUGCAUAUCUUCAUCACAGAAGUGUUACCAAAACACCAAGGUGGUUGGGUUGUCUCUGUCAUGAUGUUGAAGGAGGAAAGAUCCAUACUUAUGUAGUUCCUCCAUAGGAUCUGAGGCUCAGUCCCGGGGUCCCACUAAGCAGUAGACAGUUGUCAGACGUAGACGUUAAAGUUAGUGAGCCUCCCUUAUUUUUGGAAGGACCUGUAUCAUGAGAUAUUUACAUUUGGUUUUAGUUCAUGGUCCAACCGGGGGCCUUGUCCUGGUUUCAGACAUAUGUUUUUUCAGUUCUAGUAGAGAUUUUGCAGACGUGUAUUAGAUGGUUUUGAGUUUUAUUGAACUUAUGUCCGCAUUGCUUAGUUAAAGUAUUAUAAUGACCA
Long non-coding RNA from Capsicum annuum, 531 nucleotides. RefSeq lists it as uncharacterized. NCBI's taxonomy places the organism in Eukaryota, Viridiplantae, Streptophyta, Magnoliopsida, Solanales, Solanaceae. The transcript has 3 exons. The record is from RefSeq and is a predicted model, not a curated record.